CAUCAAACUGCAGCAGCGCUUGAUUGCUCCACUUUCGUCUGCCAAGCGACAUAAUGGAAGAAAAAAAGCCUAGACAUGCAAAUCCAGCAUUAUAAGUGGGAUUUUUUGUUCACAUUCGACAACUUUUUAACCAACCAAUUAUAGCUCACGAAUCUCUACGCUACCAGCGUGAAAAAAUCUUAAGGUUGCCUUCUGCUUUUUUAUGUUAGUAGUCUUCCUCUGUCUAUACUUGCUGUACUGACGGAUUUCACUUCAAUCAAGACGCCAUCUUGUAGAAACUAUCAGCAACGCGGUAAACCACUUCAGUAAGCAAUACCUUGCAGAAACAAUGCUGAUUUUGUGUUCGCUUUGUGUCUUUUUCGUGUUUUGCAUAUUUCAACAUUCAAAUUACAUGAUCGAUGUUCUAUACAAAUUGUUCAUAUAGUAAAGAAAGCAAACGUUUUUAUUGCAUUAUCAAAUCAAUGUUUUAACCUACAUUCUGAGUAUUUCAUUUCAUCAUCCCACAACGUGUGUUAGCAGGACCACUAUCACUGUAUAGCGGAACCACUGAGGGUGAAAUGACGGAAUUUGCGAUGACGGCGCUAGCUUCAAAGCCAUUACGAUGCAGCUGCUUUGUUGGACAAGUCGCCUGUUUCGUUCAUAGAUAGCUCGUUUUCGGAAUGUGAACCAACACUAACCACUCUGACUGCUGAGCACUCUUCUCUUCAACCCAGCAACAUUUUAGAGGUUUACAAUGAAAAAAUCGUGAACGGGAAUGACAAAGCGAGAACAAGCCUUUCGGCCUGUGAGUGUAAUGUUUUAAAUGCGAUGAACGACACAGAAAAAUCUUUUUCUACUGCAUUUCCGGGGAAUCGCGAAAUUAAUUAUACAAAUAACGAAUGAUUGUAUUUUCAUUGAUUUAUAUAGGUUAAAAGUAUGUUAUUUACAUUCGGAUAUUUUACUACGCACUGCAGCGCACAAAAAAUCGCAAACCGUAAACAUAAGAAUUUCACUUGAUUGGAAACGGCUGGAAUCAUGCCAAGAAUGUACACAGACUACGUUAACUGCUUACAAGCCGUCACAUGAAAAAUAUAGCGGAUUCCAAAAUCAAACAUUCGAAAGUAUCACAGUGGAUGACUGCACAGGAAUACUUAACAACGAGUCACUGUCGAAGAAGUUGGAUCAUUCGUUGAACAGUCUAUCUAAUGGUAAUCAAUCACAUUAAUUAAAAAAAAAUAUUUCCCUUUUAUUUUCAGCUGAAAUGUCAACUGGCGAAUGCACCAAAGAUUGUUAAAUAAUGAUUUCAAGCAAUGUUUACAAUUUGUCACAGUUUUCUGGAUUUAAUUUAGAGCCACAAUGGCUUUCGAAUAAUCAGCACAUGAAAACCUUAAUUGGACUUGGAAAAAACGAUAUGGUCACCCAGAGCCGGAUUUACGAUUGUAGGGGCCCGGGGCCCAGUUUACAGUGGGGGCCUCGAAAUAAAACAAAACCGUUUUUUUUUAUCGUACGAGUUAAAUCGUAUUGAAAAGUUACCAAAAAUUUGUUAGAGUUUUUUUGUUCAGAGAACUUAUUAAUUAAAUAAUCAACAUUCAACUCUUUCAGAAUAUCGUACUCUCAACUUAAAAAUGCUAAGUUUGACAGCCUUUCAUUUUUCAUAGUCGUACGCAACCUAUUUCCAAUCAUCUUCAUCUUCAUCUUCGAAAAAGACCUUUCUCCAGUUACGUUCGAGAUCAUUAUGCCUUGUUUAGACUACGCCGCAUAUUUCCUGAUAUCGCCAGAUGAUAUUGGAUAUCACUUCGGGUGUUCACUCUACAGUCAGAUGAUAUGGUUUGACAUUUACUUCGGUAAUUGAAAAGAGAAGAAAACAAAAACAGGUCAAGGCAAAAACAAGACAACAAGAGCAAUGUAAUUAGGAUAGAGAUUUCAGCUAGUUGGCUCGCACCAAUGUGAACUCUCAUAAGCAAUUGUCAAAAUGUGCGGGAUGACAAGAGUAAAAAUAUUUCCUUCCUUCUAUUUCGCUAAGCGAAUUUCGGAAUUUGUAGGCUUGCGUCAAAUGUUUGUUGGCCGUGUUGCCAACUGCUGCGAAUCUAGUUUUUAUUGGUUUUCGAACAUGAUAUCGAUUGUAUGGAAUAUCAGGUGAUAUGGAUAUGACAUGGUGAUAUGGCCUCGACAGCACGAAUGGCCCGAUUUCGGGUAAUAAGGAGUGUAGUGUGAACGGGGUAUUAGGCUCAAAUAAAUCCUCAAAUAAAAUGAUUUUUGAAGGCACUAAAGAGUUUUUGAUUUUUUUCUUCUGUAAUCUUCUUUUUCAAGCUCCACUUUGAUAUACACGCGGGGUUUUGUGGCGAUCGCACAUUUUGAACAAAUGUAAUAAUAAAUUCGGUGCUUGCUUACUGUU
Molecule: long non-coding RNA, 2374 nt
Organism: Wyeomyia smithii (pitcher-plant mosquito)
Lineage: Eukaryota; Metazoa; Arthropoda; Insecta; Diptera; Culicidae
Exons: 5
Source: RefSeq, a predicted model, not a curated record